UGAAGAACGUAGCGAAAUGCGAUACUUGGUGUGAAUUGCAGAAUCCCGUGAACCAUCGAGUCUUUGAACGCAAGUUGCGCCCGAAGCCAUUAGGCCGAGGGCACGCCUGCCUGGGCGUCACACGUCGUUGCCCCCCCAUCUACUCCUUCGGGAUUGCGGGGGGCGGAUGAUGGCCUCCCGUGCGCCUCGUCGCGCGGUUGGCAUAAAUGCCAAGUCCUCGGCGACGCACGCCACGACAAUCGGUGGUUGCGAAACCUCGGUUGCCCGUCGUGUGCGGUCGUCGCGCAUCGAGGGCUCGAAAAAAUUGCCGGGCUCCGGCUCGGUUUUCAACGCGACCCCAGGUCAGGCGGGGUUACCCGCUGAAUUUAAGCAUAUCAAUAAGCGGAGA
RNAcentral lists this unclassified non-coding RNA (388 nucleotides) under soil metagenome. RNAcentral's name for it is "partial contains 5.8S ribosomal RNA, internal transcribed spacer 2, and large subunit ribosomal RNA". The stretch from base 1 to 120 matches the Rfam family "5.8S ribosomal RNA", at positions 37 to 154 of the family's 154-position model. The record is from RNAcentral.